Molecule: long non-coding RNA, 1221 nt
Organism: Varroa destructor (honeybee mite)
Lineage: Eukaryota; Metazoa; Arthropoda; Arachnida; Mesostigmata; Varroidae
Source: RefSeq, a predicted model, not a curated record
GAUGCAUUACAGAAUGUAAGCAAAUAUGAAACGCGUGUCGUCUGCUCAAAAUCAGGUAAAUUUUUGGAAACACGUCUUGCUGUGUUACCUUUCCCGCCGACUGCUCUGAAAGCGAAGUCUCAACCCUAACCCGUGUUAGCCUCUACGAAUGUAAUCGGCAACAGUCCACUUCUUACGUGAGUAAAAACGCGACAGUGGGCUCUGCGUUAAGGAGAAACCUGAAGGGGCUGCUCAGUACGGAGAGAUUCGCAGUACCGUGUGCUAUUGUUGCACUUAAAUGAGAAAAGCCGGCAAAAGAGAACGACUAUGAGAGAACGCCAUGAUCGAAAUUGAGUAGACGCUUGGAUACACACGAUCACAGCAUGCACGUGAGAGGCUGCGACCUCAAUCAUCACGUUUCCAUAGCUUCACGUAACGUUAGCAGACGAAAAACGAAGUUCUUCCAGAAGCCCCACUAUGUCGAUACCGUUGCACAGACUAACUAGCGCCGCCUGGCGAGGCUUUGGUAAAAGAGGGAGACCACUCCACUUCCCCCGCUAGCAUGGCCGGCAAAUUCCCCACAGUCCACCUUCCCUCUACGCUUAUCCCUAUCCCUAUUUCCGCUGCUGCCACUGCCGCCGCGUCGAUGUUACAGUGUGGCUGUUGGAGCGGCGGACAGCAGUCGGCCGUCUCCUGUUCGCUCGUUCAGACCGGGGUAGUUUGCGACAUUGCCUCGUACAGGGCUAAAGGCGAUGUCGAAACUUUGCGAGCUAGAGAGUGAGCCUUCCCCUUUCCACUACCCCUCUGAGCGGAGCGGAUCGCGAGAGUGGUCAGAAGCACUGUCGGAAAACUCUGGAAUACUUCCUGGCUGCUUUGCCUUGCUCUGGCCUUACUCAGCUGGCCUGUCUGUUUAGUGCGCUCGCCGCCAACUUCGCUUCGUCGCGAGCUGGGGUAGUUUGCUGCCUCUCUACGUUGGAUUAUAUCGGCAGCCUAGCUCCGGCCCAUGGCUGCCAUUAGGAAUAGCAAGAUUUUUUGCGGAGCAGAAGCUUAUGGCGAGAACACUGUAGCUUUUUUCGAACCAUUAUCCGUCUCGAGAUGAUGAUAUAUGACUGAACAUUUCAAACUGUUGAUGAUAUUCGUCAGGGACCUCAGGAAAUCAGAUUUUGUUUUACUAUUAAUUCAAUAUAUAUUUAUGUACACAACAUGGCUUCUGUACGGCCAUGCGAUUAUAGUUUUAACGUA